UAAAUUGAGAGUUUGAUCCUGGCUCAGGAUGAACGCUGGCGGCGUGCUUAACACAUGCAAGUCGAGCGAUGAAGUUUCCUUCGGGAAACGGAUUAGCGGCGGACGGGUGAGUAACACGUGGGUAACCUGCCUCGUAGAGUGGAAUAGCCUUCCGAAAGGAAGAUUAAUACCGCAUAACGUUGAAAGAUGGCAUCAUCAUUCAACCAAAGGAGCAAUCCGCUAUGAGAUGGACCCGCGGCGCAUUAGCUAGUUGGUGGGGUAAC
This 263-nucleotide ribosomal RNA is filed under the name Clostridium perfringens. RNAcentral's name for it is "partial 16S ribosomal RNA". It matches the Rfam family "Bacterial small subunit ribosomal RNA", at positions 1 to 261 of the family's 1533-position model. The record is from RNAcentral. Lineage: Bacteria; Bacillati; Bacillota; Clostridia; Eubacteriales; Clostridiaceae.